UCAGACGAUGCGUCAUGCAUAUCAAUAAGCGGAGGAAAAGAAACUAACAAGGAUUCCCCUAGUAACGGCGAGUGAAGCGGGAAGAGCUCAAAUUUGAAAUCUUAAAGGGUUUCCCUUUACGAAUUGUAGUUUAAAGAAGUGUUUUCUGUUGAGGUUUUGGUAAAAGUUCUUUGGAAUAGGACAUCAUAGAGGGUGAGAAUCCCGUAUUUGACCUUUACUUUCAACUUUGUGAUACACUUUCAAAGAGUCGGAUUGUUUGGGAAUGCAGUCCAAAAUGGGUGGUAAAUUUCAUCUAAAGCUAAAUAUUGGCGAGAGACCGAUAGCGAACAAGUACCGUGAGGGAAAGAUGAAAAGAACUUUGAAAAGAGAGUUAAACAGUACGUGAAAUUGUCAAAAGGGAAGCGUUUGACACCAGUGUUGUUUUUCUGAAAAUCAAUUAAAGAACUGUUUAUGCUAAGCUGUUUAGACUUUAUCAGCUAUCUGUUUAGUUUUGAGCUUUUCUUUAAUGCACUUUUCAGUUAACAAGUCAACAUCAAUUUCUUUUGCUGUAAAAAAGCUUGAGGAAGGUGGCUUGAGAUUCGUCUUAAGUGUUUAUAGCCUCUUGCCUAUGCAGUCGGAGAGAUUGAGGUCUGCAGCGUAGAUCCUUCGGGGCUAAAUGCAUUUGUGCUAAGUUAUAGCAUUUUCAUAGACAACUUGUUGACUAUGAUUUGUCUUGUAGCUUACUCGCUUAUGUCAUUUUACCUACGCUUAGGAUGUUGAAUCUGUGCGAGACUAC
Molecule: ribosomal RNA, 775 nt
Filed under: uncultured Neocallimastigales
Lineage: Eukaryota; Fungi; Neocallimastigomycota; Neocallimastigomycetes; Neocallimastigales
Description: partial large subunit ribosomal RNA
Rfam family: Eukaryotic large subunit ribosomal RNA
Source: RNAcentral